This 253-nucleotide ribosomal RNA is filed under the name uncultured prokaryote. RNAcentral describes it as "partial 16S ribosomal RNA". It matches the Rfam family "Bacterial small subunit ribosomal RNA", at positions 525 to 777 of the family's 1533-position model. The record is from RNAcentral.
ACGAGGGGGGCGAGCGUUGUUCGGAAUUAUUGGGCGUAAAGGGCGCGUAGGCGGUGCGGCAAGUCUCCUGUGAAAACUCCGGGCUCAACUCGGAGCCUGCAGGAGAAACUGCCGUGCUGGAGUGUCGGAGAGGUGAGUGGAAUUCCCGGUGUUGCGGUGAAAUGCGUAGAUAUCGGGAGGAACACCUGUGGCGAAAGCGGCGCACUGGACCACAACUGACGCUGAGGCGCGAAAGCUAGGGGAGCAAACAGGA